GGGGUUGUAGUUUAACUGGAAGAACGCUUGGUUUGCAACCAAGAGGCUGCAGGUUCAAGUCCUGCCAACUCCACCA
RNAcentral lists this transfer RNA (76 nucleotides) under Rickettsiales bacterium. RNAcentral's name for it is "tRNA-Ala". It matches the Rfam family "tRNA". Rfam says of the family: Transfer RNA (tRNA) molecules are approximately 80 nucleotides in length. Lineage: Bacteria; Pseudomonadati; Pseudomonadota; Alphaproteobacteria; Rickettsiales. The record is from RNAcentral.